This is a non-coding RNA of Elephantulus edwardii (Cape elephant shrew), 72 nucleotides long. Lineage: Eukaryota; Metazoa; Chordata; Mammalia; Macroscelidea; Macroscelididae. The record is from the annotation of a RefSeq genome assembly.
GGGGAUAUAGCUCAGUGGUAGAGCGCGUGCUUAGCAUGCACGAGGUCCUGGGUUCGAUUCCCUGUAUCUCCA